RNAcentral lists this ribosomal RNA (1572 nucleotides) under Escherichia coli. Its description in RNAcentral is "partial 23S ribosomal RNA". It matches the Rfam family "Bacterial large subunit ribosomal RNA", at positions 307 to 1869 of the family's 2925-position model. The record is from RNAcentral. Lineage: Bacteria; Pseudomonadati; Pseudomonadota; Gammaproteobacteria; Enterobacterales; Enterobacteriaceae.
AGCCUGAAUCAGUGUGUGUGUUAGUGGAAGCGUCUGGAAAGGCGCGCGAUACAGGGUGACAGCCCCGUACACAAAAAUGCACAUGCUGUGAGCUCGAUGAGUAGGGCGGGACACGUGGUAUCCUGUCUGAAUAUGGGGGGACCAUCCUCCAAGGCUAAAUACUCCUGACUGACCGAUAGUGAACCAGUACCGUGAGGGAAAGGCGAAAAGAACCCCGGCGAGGGGAGUGAAAAAGAACCUGAAACCGUGUACGUACAAGCAGUGGGAGCACGCUUAGGCGUGUGACUGCGUACCUUUUGUAUAAUGGGUCAGCGACUUAUAUUCUGUAGCAAGGUUAACCGAAUAGGGGAGCCGAAGGGAAACCGAGUCUUAACUGGGCGUUAAGUUGCAGGGUAUAGACCCGAAACCCGGUGAUCUAGCCAUGGGCAGGUUGAAGGUUGGGUAACACUAACUGGAGGACCGAACCGACUAAUGUUGAAAAAUUAGCGGAUGACUUGUGGCUGGGGGUGAAAGGCCAAUCAAACCGGGAGAUAGCUGGUUCUCCCCGAAAGCUAUUUAGGUAGCGCCUCGUGAAUUCAUCUCCGGGGGUAGAGCACUGUUUCGGCAAGGGGGUCAUCCCGACUUACCAACCCGAUGCAAACUGCGAAUACCGGAGAAUGUUAUCACGGGAGACACACGGCGGGUGCUAACGUCCGUCGUGAAGAGGGAAACAACCCAGACCGCCAGCUAAGGUCCCAAAGUCAUGGUUAAGUGGGAAACGAUGUGGGAAGGCCCAGACAGCCAGGAUGUUGGCUUAGAAGCAGCCAUCAUUUAAAGAAAGCGUAAUAGCUCACUGGUCGAGUCGGCCUGCGCGGAAGAUGUAACGGGGCUAAACCAUGCACCGAAGCUGCGGCAGCGACGCUUAUGCGUUGUUGGGUAGGGGAGCGUUCUGUAAGCCUGUGAAGGUGUGCUGUGAGGCAUGCUGGAGGUAUCAGAAGUGCGAAUGCUGACAUAAGUAACGAUAAAGCGGGUGAAAAGCCCGCUCGCCGGAAGACCAAGGGUUCCUGUCCAACGUUAAUCGGGGCAGGGUGAGUCGACCCCUAAGGCGAGGCCGAAAGGCGUAGUCGAUGGGAAACAGGUUAAUAUUCCUGUACUUGGUGUUACUGCGAAGGGGGGACGGAGAAGGCUAUGUUGGCCGGGCGACGGUUGUCCCGGUUUAAGCGUGUAGGCUGGUUUUCCAGGCAAAUCCGGAAAAUCAAGGCUGAGGCGUGAUGACGAGGCACUACGGUGCUGAAGCAACAAAUGCCCUGCUUCCAGGAAAAGCCUCUAAGCAUCAGGUAACAUCAAAUCGUACCCCAAACCGACACAGGUGGUCAGGUAGAGAAUACCAAGGCGCUUGAGAGAACUCGGGUGAAGGAACUAGGCAAAAUGGUGCCGUAACUUCGGGAGAAGGCACGCUGAUAUGUAGGUGAAGUCCCUCGCGGAUGGAGCUGAAAUCAGUCGAAGAUACCAGCUGGCUGCAACUGUUUAUUAAAAACACAGCACUGUGCAAACACGAAAGUGGACGUAUACGGUGUGACGCCUGCCCGGUGC